CGGAAGAGGCUAAAACAAAUAGAGCCUUUAGUUGGAACCAGGGCAUGCGGACGAGGUGCUGGGAGCGAACUAAAUGGAACUAAAGAGCAGUAAAUGUCAGAAUAAGGACAGUGCAGGUGUCAGAGGUUUGCACUCCAGAAGUGGAUAUACCAGUAAAGAUGUGCCGUUCAUACCUGCCUGGAGGAUGUGAGUGCACAAUCGGAGGACAGGGUGUCAGUCUUUGGUUCAAGUUGGUCUUAACACUUUCAUGUAGUUCAUCUGCAGACCAGGGCACAUGAUGGCUGUGAUGAACCCUCGCCCUCUCUGCCCAUAACAGAGAGCUGCUAGACCGAGAAGGCAGAGACAGAUGAUGAUGGCACAGACAGCUGAGAAUCGGACAGAUUAAAUAUGCAUUUAAAAGUAGAUGAAGCUGCUGCUCUAAAUGGCAGGAAAUGGGAAGCUAAUCUCUCACGUCUGCUGCUGGAUCUCUGUGAAAAAUCUGCCCCAUCUCCAGGCUAAUAACCUUUCUUCCACUGAGACAUCAAAUGGACACGAACACGUCCUUCUCAUGCAGCACAGGGACAGCAGCUGCACAGCCGAGAGGCGGAUGGCGGAGCAGCACUGUGCACAGUAACAGUGGUUAGCUAGGAGUCUGGUAGCAGGUCCAGGCUGUGCGAGGCAGGAGAAACAUGACAUACAACAGGCUGCGCUGGCAAAUGGUAACAAAUCUCUCUGACAAGUGAUGGUAAAUGUUUCAUCAAUGCUGAACAGUAUAUUUGUGUUAAUAAUAGCUUCUGGAAAAGUUACAAGCAUAAAUAUUUGUAAUAUAUGACUUUUAC
Monopterus albus (swamp eel) is the source of this 818-nucleotide long non-coding RNA. RefSeq lists it as uncharacterized. Lineage: Eukaryota; Metazoa; Chordata; Actinopteri; Synbranchiformes; Synbranchidae. The transcript is spliced from 3 exons. The record is from RefSeq and is a predicted model, not a curated record.